AGAAUCAACGCUGGCGGCGUGCCUAACACAUGCAAGUCGCACGAGAAAGGGUAGCAAUACCUGAGUAAAGUGGCGCACGGGUGAGUAACACGUGAAUGAUCUACCUCCGAGUGGGGAAUAACUGAGAGAAAUCUUAGCUAAUACCGCAUAACACUUACGAGUCAAAGCAGCAAUGCGCUUGGAGAGGAGUUCGCGGCCGAUUAGUUAGUUGGCGGGUAAUGGCCCACCAAGACGAUGAUCGGUA
Molecule: ribosomal RNA, 244 nt
Filed under: uncultured bacterium
Lineage: Bacteria
Description: partial small subunit ribosomal RNA
Rfam family: Bacterial small subunit ribosomal RNA
Source: RNAcentral